GAAAUGCGAUAAGUAAUGUGAAUUGCAGAAUUCCGUGAAUCAUCGAAUCUUUGAACGCACAUUGCGCCCUCUGGUAUUCCGGGGGGCAUGCCUGUCCGAGCGUCAUUGCGAACCCCUCAAGCACGGCUUGUGUGAUGGGCCCUCCCGCGUCUUGGUCGUCAAGACGGGCCCGAAAAGCAGUGGCGGCUUCGCGGUUAUCCGAUCAGCCAGAGCGUAUGGGGACUUUCUCUCUGUCACACGCCCGCGGCGCGGACCGACGCCUGUCGGCCUUUAUUCAUCUUUUUCUCGGUUGACCUCGGAUCAGGUAGAGAUACCCGCUGAACUUAAGC
RNAcentral lists this unclassified non-coding RNA (329 nucleotides) under plant metagenome. RNAcentral's name for it is "partial contains 5.8S ribosomal RNA, internal transcribed spacer 2, and large subunit ribosomal RNA". The stretch from base 1 to 105 matches the Rfam family "5.8S ribosomal RNA", at positions 50 to 154 of the family's 154-position model. The record is from RNAcentral.